RNAcentral lists this ribosomal RNA (402 nucleotides) under uncultured Sphingomonas sp. RNAcentral describes it as "bacterial SSU rRNA". It matches the Rfam family "Bacterial small subunit ribosomal RNA", at positions 355 to 774 of the family's 1533-position model. Lineage: Bacteria; Pseudomonadati; Pseudomonadota; Alphaproteobacteria; Sphingomonadales; Sphingomonadaceae. The record is from RNAcentral.
UGGGGAAUAUUGGACAAUGGGCGAAAGCCUGAUCCAGCAAUGCCGCGUGAGUGAUGAAGGCCUUAGGGUUGUAAAGCUCUUUUACCCGGGAAGAUAAUGACUGUACCGGGAGAAUAAGCUCCGGCUAACUCCGUGCCAGCAGCCGCGGUAAUACGGAGGGAGCUAGCGUUGUUCGGAAUUACUGGGCGUAAAGCGCACGUAGGCGGCUUUGUAAGUUAGAGGUGAAAGCCUGGGGCUCAACUCCAGAAUUGCCUUUAAGACUGCAUCGCUUGAAUCAUGGAGAGGCGAGUGGAAUUCCGAGUGUAGAGGUGAAAUUCGUAGAUAUUCGGAAGAACACCAGUGGCGAAGGCGGCUCGCUGGACAUGUAUUGACGCUGAGGUGCGAAAGCGUGGGGAGCAAACA